AUGACCAUGAAGGCUAGAGCCACCGAUGCAGAGAAGAACGUGCAAGAGCUGAAUGCUAAGCCGGAUAGACUUCAAAAGACAAACGGCGAGCAAACGGUUAGGAUUCAAAAGACUAAAAGUGUUCUUAAAGGUGCAGAGGAGGAGCUGAUGAAGGUGCAGUCAGAAGCAACACCAAAAUCAGAGCAGCUCAGAGAGAAAGAAAAGCAGCCGAAGGGGCGCCUCCCACCUGGUACCACCCAACUUCCUCUUAAGCGGCGCCACCCGGUGGCGCCCCAACCGCUAGUUACAAUGUUGUGUGGCUGCUAG
Molecule: ribosomal RNA, 306 nt
Filed under: Triticum aestivum (bread wheat)
Lineage: Eukaryota; Viridiplantae; Streptophyta; Magnoliopsida; Poales; Poaceae
Description: partial small subunit ribosomal RNA
Source: RNAcentral